This 178-nucleotide ribosomal RNA is filed under the name uncultured bacterium. RNAcentral describes it as "partial 16S ribosomal RNA". It matches the Rfam family "Bacterial small subunit ribosomal RNA", at positions 1325 to 1500 of the family's 1533-position model. The record is from RNAcentral.
GUCGGAAUUGCUAGUAAUCGCAGAUCAGCAUGCUGCGGUGAAUACGUUCCCGGGCCUUGUACACACCGCCCGUCACACCAUGGGAGUCGGUAACACCCGAAGUCAGGAGCCUGACCUUUUUAGGAGGGCACUGCCGAAGGUGGGAUUGAUGACUGGGGUGAAGUCGUAACAAGGUACC